UUUGCCAUCUGAUUGGCAUGAAGGGCAAUGUAACUGAGGAGUCUGGGGACCAAAGUGAAUCCUAGUAAUGUCACUCACUUAAUAUGUGUGAUUUUUUAGACCAAUCACAUCAUUUGGCCAAGCCUCAGUUUCCUAGUCUGUCAAAUGGGAAUGAUGAUUUGACAUCUGGUGUGUCUCUCACUACUGUUGAGACAUUAUAUAAUGAGAGCAUAGCCCUUUAUAAAGACAGGGUUUCUGUCCUCUUUCUUACUUCAUUCUUUCCUUCUCUUCUUUCCUUCUAAUAGAAGGUAUAGAGAAGACAGCACAUUCCUACUGAGCUCUAUAUGGAGAGCUGCAGUCAUGGGGGACACUGUCUAGAUCUGGGGACCCUCCCAAGCUCUCAGAGCUUUGGAAGGAAGGUCCCUGCAGGGAAACUGUGUGUGUUUCUUCAACAGUGUAUCCUCAGUGCCUAGCACAUGGUAAGUGUUCCAUAAACAGCUGUUGAAGAGACGGAUGGAUAACUGAAUGAAUGGAUGCUUCCAUGGGCAAUGACACACUAAUCUGAAAAGCCCUGUAUCAAUGAAAGAAUCACUUAAUAGUUUAACUUUUCCCUCAUCCUUCAGAACACAGAUGGCAUGCCAUCUUCCCUUCAAAUCUCUUCCCAGUGCCCCACACAGAAGAGGCACACUUGGACACUGGUGUCUGAUGGACCCAAGUUCACAGCCUGUCUCUGGUCAUCAGGUAUCAUGACCUUGGGCAAGAAGCUUAACUCUCUGAGCCUCAGUUUCCCCUUCUGUCCCCCAGGGAAAAUGAGUCCUGCCCCUCCUAAGGGAGGUAUGAGAUGUAAGACCCCGAAGGACACAAAGGUUUGCCAGGAGCCUUCAGGUAGGAGGCAGAAAUCCUCAGAUCACUAUGUCAGCAUCCCCCAAUCACAGCUCUCCAACUUCAAGGAGGGUUGAGGGGUCUGAAGAAGGAGAGAGAGGCAACAGAGCCAGAAACCCUUCAGAAGAUGCCAAGAGCAAGGUUUGGACCCAUAGUCCACCACUUACUAACUUCAAGAGUGUUAUGAGCUACAAACUUCUCAGUCUCCGUUGACUCAUCUCAAAAAUGGAAGUAAAAUUAUUUACCAUGCAA
Long non-coding RNA from Homo sapiens (human), 1113 nucleotides. RefSeq lists it as uncharacterized. NCBI's taxonomy places the organism in Eukaryota, Metazoa, Chordata, Mammalia, Primates, Hominidae. The transcript is spliced from 2 exons. The record is from RefSeq and is a predicted model, not a curated record.